RNAcentral lists this ribosomal RNA (361 nucleotides) under uncultured bacterium. RNAcentral's name for it is "bacterial SSU rRNA". It matches the Rfam family "Bacterial small subunit ribosomal RNA", at positions 28 to 389 of the family's 1533-position model. The record is from RNAcentral.
GACGAACGCUGGCGGCGUGCUUAACACAUGCAAGUCGAGCGGUAAGGCCCUUUCGGGGGUACACGAGCGGCGAACGGGUGAGUAACACGUGGGUGACCUGCCCUCAGCUCUGGGAUAAGCCUGGGAAACCGGGUCUAAUACUGGAUAUGACUCCAUGACGCAUGUUGUGGGGUGGAAAGCCUUGUGCGGCUGAGGAUGGGCCCGCGGCCUAUCAGCUUGUUGGUGGGGUGANGGCCUACCAAGGCGACGACGGGUAGCCGGCCUGAGAGGGCGACCGGCCACACUGGGACUGAGACACGGGCCCAGACUCCUACGGGAGGCAGCAGUGGGGAAUCUUGCGCAAUGGGCGAAAGCCUGACGC